AUGGAUGCGAAGGGGGAUCACCGCUUGGGAGAAACAGGACCUUCCUUCCCAAAACUGCCGGAGGGGACCAGGCCAAGCGACAGACGCCACAUCCCUGCCUCACGCAGGGUUUAUUUGGCUCUCUCGCGAGCAGCCUCCCCCGCCUCAGUCACUUCCAUCGAUGCCCAGCUCCCUCUCCCACCACCGUGCCCGAAAUGUUUGAACAGCCCGGGCUCGCCCCCACCGAGGCGGGACAGGGAGGCGGCCCCGCCGCCACCGCACACAAAGCGGCCGCUCGCCGCCACCGGCCUGCUGCGAGCGACGCCCCAGUCCCCGCCUCAACCUGCAGCCUAUGAGCAAGGAGGCACCGCCCCGAGCGGCGGCGGGAUCGGGAUCGGGAUCGGGAUCGUACCCGCGCCUGCCGCCGCGCACCGCCGAGGAGAGCGCCGCGCUCCCGUCCCGUCCCGGCCCGUCCCGUCCCGCGGCCCCGCGCCGGGGGAAGGAGGCGAGAGAGCGCCGCUUCAAAGCCAGGCAGUGACAGUCAUCUGUCUGCGAGCAGAGGGUGGAUGCGGAGGCCGGGGCGGCCGCGGGGGCCGGCGGGCGGGCGCGGAAAGUGCUACAGACACCAUCAGCUGCUUUUUUUUUCUCCUCUCCCCUUCCCCCCGCCACUCCUCCCCCUCGCACACCCACCACCAUCACCACGGAGGUAAGAAGAGGAAGCUGCAGGCUCUGGGCUGCAGGACAAAACCCCAGUCAAAUAAAUCCAAUUCCCCAUCGCGUUUGAGUUGCCGAACUGGGAAGGAUGGGGUGGGAAGGGGAGCGCAGGGGCAGACCGGUGCCUGAAUGGGGUUCUCAUUGAGCAGAAGAAAAUCCUGGAGGAUAUUUGUGUUUUGGUUUGGAGCUGUCGCAUUUAGAUCGCCGGUGUUUUGUAGGUGCCUCUUUACUGCUUUGCAUUUUAAACAGUUUAAUGUAUUUCCCGAGUAGAAAAAUGCACAGUCCUGGAGGCGCUCAGGGGGCGGGGCGGGAGCGCAGCUGAGCCGAGCCGGGCGCGUUUCUCGGCGUUUCAUCAUAAGGCUUUUCAUGGAUUUUUUUUUCCCCCGUUUUGGUCUCCGUCUCGGCGUCAGCUGUUGUGAACCCAGCAGAACGAUUUCCUUUCGCGUUACCUUAACCGAGCUGAAGGGAGACGCUGACUGGAUUUUUUUGACUUUAAACCUUUUUCUUUUUUUUUUCUUCUUUUUUUUUUUCCUUUUUUUUUAAUGUCUGAUGCAACGGAGCUCUCGGCAGAGGAAUGGGGCUGUGUUUGACUGGCCGUGGGUAGUGAGUGGGGGGUCCGGCCGCGGUAAGGGCAGCAGAGCGCACUCUCCGGAGGUGAGAGAGCUGGAGAGCUGGUGUGUUUGCAGGAGGUUUGAGUGCAUGAAGUGGCAGAGUGUGCGGAGUUGCUGUCUUUGCAACCUCGCUGUUGCAGGAAAAAGGGGGAGAUAAAACUUCCCGUGCCUUCUUGGCAAAUCAGGAGGCUUUGUUGGUGGCGCCGGGGUGGUUUUAAUGCAUUUUUGUGCGUGAGGUUAUUACAUAAGGUUGAUAAUUUCUGUUGCUGCUGGAUUUCCCCUCCUCCCCCCUCCCCCCUUGUGUUGUGUGCGGAUUUCGCUGGCUCGCUUUGAGUGAAUGAACUGGCGAUUUGCGAAGUUGCAAAGAACCCCUCCGCCCCCUUUUUUUUUUUUUUUUUUUUUUUUUUUUUUUUUUUUUUGCAUCCUUCUCUCCCCUUUGCACUGCUCCGCAGAUGACAAAAGGAGUAAACUUCCUCUACUUUAGCUAGCAUAUUAAGAAGCCUUUCUGGAGAGAUUAC
This 1822-nucleotide long non-coding RNA is filed under the name Parus major (Great Tit). RNAcentral's name for it is "lncRNA (ENSPMJG00000012472.1)". Lineage: Eukaryota; Metazoa; Chordata; Aves; Passeriformes; Paridae. The record is from RNAcentral.